This 90-nucleotide non-coding RNA is filed under the name Chelonia mydas (Green sea turtle). RNAcentral's name for it is "Eukaryotic large subunit ribosomal RNA". It matches the Rfam family "Eukaryotic large subunit ribosomal RNA", at positions 2893 to 2984 of the family's 3401-position model. Lineage: Eukaryota; Metazoa; Chordata; Testudines; Cheloniidae. The record is from Rfam by way of RNAcentral.
CAGCUCAUUGUGAAGCAGAAUUCACCAAACAUUGGAUUGUUCACCCACUAAGGGACCGUGAGCUGGGUUUAGACUGUCGUGAGACAGGUU